Molecule: ribosomal RNA, 454 nt
Filed under: uncultured bacterium
Lineage: Bacteria
Description: bacterial SSU rRNA
Rfam family: Bacterial small subunit ribosomal RNA
Source: RNAcentral
UACGGAAGGCAGCAGUGGGGAAUAUUGCACAAUGGGCGCAAGCCUGAUGCAGCCAUGCCGCGUGUAUGAAAAAGGCCUUCGGGUUGUAAAGUACUUUCAGUCGUGAGGAAGGUGUUAAGGUUAAUAACCUUAGCAAUUGACGUUAGCGACAGAAGAAGCACCGGCUAACUCCGUGCCAGCAGCCGCGGUAAUACGGAGGGUGCGAGCGUUAAUCGGAAUUACUGGGCGUAAAGGGCACGCAGGCGGUUAAUUAAGUUGGAUGUGAAAUCCCCGGGCUUAACCUGGGAAUGGCAUUCAAGACUGGUUAGCUAGAGUCUUGUAGAGGGGGUAGAAUUCCAUGUGUAGCGGUGAAAUGCGUAGAGAUGUGGAGGAAUACCGGUGGCGAAGGCGGCCCCUGGACAAAGACUGACGCUCAUGUGCGAAAGCGUGGGGAGCAAACAGGGAUUAGGAUACC